Long non-coding RNA from Macrobrachium nipponense, 1234 nucleotides. RefSeq lists it as uncharacterized. The record is from RefSeq and is a predicted model, not a curated record. The transcript has 6 exons. NCBI's taxonomy places the organism in Eukaryota, Metazoa, Arthropoda, Malacostraca, Decapoda, Palaemonidae.
AACAGUAGUGGUGUGGUCGUGGUCGAGAGUGGAUGUGUACCGCGGGUCUCUCUCUGUCUCUCUCUAUCUCCCUUCUUGCUCUCUUAUAGUGCCGUAGGAAAACAAAGUACCACUUCUUCCCCCGUUGGAGUUAAAAGAACAGAAAAGACUCAGGGUAAUCCCGACAUAGUAAUGCCUCACUCUGGAGGGUGGACACGGAAAGGCACCGAAAGAAUUAUGUCAGCAUUUUCACAGUAAACUCGAGGUGCUUCUAUGAGGCCAACACAGGCGCCAAUGGAAGAAUGACUUUCAUUGUGAGAUUAUCAAGCUGUGAGGUUCCAGGUGCACGGGAGAAGUUUAUAUGAAUCAAAAACUAACUUAUUCUCUAUGUACACGGAACAAUUACACAAGCCUGAUUUUAGAGAAAUAUUCUCAAAUACCAUGCCGAUCUAGUGAGCAGUAAAAUAGCCAAAAAAUUUCAAAUGAGUGAAAAUUAAGUGGAUUGUAUUUACAAUAUAACCGUUACAUUUCUGGAAAACUAACUUUAUUGUUUAGAUCGUACGAUAUUUAUGGAAAUCCUACGAUAAUUGAAUGUUCUAAACGGUUUAUAUUUCAGUGGAUUGAGCGCAUUAUGAAUGAUGAGGUCAGUGUCACCAAUAAAACAAAAAUAAGGGAAAAAUUCUCGGCAAAAAGGAAUAAAGAAUCAAUAACAUUGUGACUCAGUAACUGUUCUAAUUUCCGUGGUUUUUAAAGCCAGUUAGACCCUGAAGGAAAAUAUCUACUAUAAAAGCAUUUAUAAGAAAGGAAAAUAAGAGAAGGGCCUCCGUAAUAACGAAAAACUUCCAGUUCAGCGGGCAUUCAGGAAAAAACUUCAUUUGAAACCGUUACAACGGAAAUACUUCGGCUCAGCCGUAGAUAAACUGCGAUCCCCGUGAAAGCGGAUUAAGAAAAGAUGGCGCUGCUGGGGUGGUCACUCCCUCUCAUCUUCCUCCCGGGUCUCAUGGUCAUCAUCUUGUCAGGAAAUGGUUGCCAUGGAGACAAGGGGUGUCCGCCCCCUAACUCACAGCUUCAAUUUCUCCGUGUUGCCUGUGGCAGAUUCCACAGACCAAGUUCAGGAGGUGAUGUUCAUGGGUGUAGUGGGCCCGUUCGACGAGAGUCUGUAAGAUAAAGUGCAUCGAUGGGCGGUGGGUGGGACCACUCUGUUCCCUACAGCAAGAUUCCAAUCGCUUCCAAUCGAUGUUCCGGCCGUGCCACG